RNAcentral lists this ribosomal RNA (471 nucleotides) under uncultured archaeon. RNAcentral's name for it is "bacterial SSU rRNA". It matches the Rfam family "Archaeal small subunit ribosomal RNA", at positions 345 to 847 of the family's 1478-position model. The record is from RNAcentral.
AACCUCCGCAAUGCGAGCAAUCGCGACGGGGGGACCCCAAGUGCCACUUUAACGGGGUGGCUUUUCUUAAGUGCUUUUGGAUAAGGGCUGGCAAGACCGGUGCCAGCCGCCGCGGUAACACCGGCAGCUCAAGUGGUGGCCGUUUUUAUUGGGCCUAAAGCGUUCGUAGCCGGCCUGAUAAGUCUCUGGUGAAAUCCUAUAGCUUAACUGUGGGACUGCUGGAGAUACUAUUAGACUUGAGGUCGGAGAGGUUAGAGGUACUACAGGGGUAGGAGUGAAAUCUUGUAAUCCUGUGGGGACCACCUGUGGCGAAGGCGUCUUACCAGAACGGUUCGACGGUGAGGGACGAAAGCGGGGGGCACGAACCGGAUUAGAUACCCGGGUAGUCCCAGCCGUAAACGAUGCAGACUCGGUGAUGAGCAGUGCCGCAGGGAGCCGUUAAGUUUGCCGCCUGGGGAGUACGGUCGCAAG